GGGCCCGUAGCUCAGUUCGGUCAGAGCGACCGGCUCAUAACCGGUCGGUCGAGCGUUCAAAUCGCUCCGGGCCCA
This 75-nucleotide transfer RNA is filed under the name Nitrososphaerota archaeon. RNAcentral's name for it is "Thaumarchaeota archaeon tRNA-Ile". It matches the Rfam family "tRNA". Rfam says of the family: Transfer RNA (tRNA) molecules are approximately 80 nucleotides in length. Their secondary structure includes four short double-helical elements and three loops (D, anti-codon, and T loops). Lineage: Archaea; Thermoproteati; Nitrososphaerota. The record is from RNAcentral. RNAcentral also lists the same sequence under 1 other name.